This 478-nucleotide ribosomal RNA is filed under the name uncultured bacterium. Its description in RNAcentral is "partial 16S ribosomal RNA". It matches the Rfam family "Bacterial small subunit ribosomal RNA", at positions 28 to 523 of the family's 1533-position model. The record is from RNAcentral.
GACGAACGCUGGCGGCGUGCUUAACACAUGCAAGUCGAACGGUAAGGCCCUUCGGGGUACACGAGUGGCGAACGGGUGAGUAACACGUGGGUGAUCUGCCCUGCACUUCGGGAUAAGCCUGGGAAACUGGGUCUAAUACCGGAUAGGACCCUGGGAUGCAUGUCCUGGGGUGGAAAGCUUUUGCGGUGUGGGAUGGGCCCGCGGCCUAUCAGCUUGUUGGUGGGGGGAUGGCCUACCAAGGCGACGACGGGUAGCCGGCCUGAGAGGGUGACCGGCCACACUGGGACUGAGAGACGGCCCAGACUCCUACGGGAGGCAGCAGUGGGGAAUAUUGCACAAUGGGCGCAAGCCUGGUGCAGCGACGCCGCGUGAGGGAUGACGGCCUUCGGGUUGUAAACCUCUUUCAGCACCGACGAAGCGCAAGUGACGGUAGGUGCAGAAGAAGGACCGGCCAACUACGUGCCAGCCGCCGCAGUAA